This 494-nucleotide ribosomal RNA is filed under the name uncultured bacterium. Its description in RNAcentral is "partial 16S ribosomal RNA". It matches the Rfam family "Bacterial small subunit ribosomal RNA", at positions 28 to 507 of the family's 1533-position model. The record is from RNAcentral.
GACGAACGCUGGCGGCGUGCUUAACACAUGCAAGUCGAACGGUGAAGCGCCUUCCUUUUUGGUGGGUGUGGAUGAGUGGCGAACGGGUGAGUAAGACGUGAGUAACCUGCCCCCUUCUUCUGGAUAACCGCAUGAAAGUGUGGCUAAUACGGGAUAUUCUGGGUCUGUCGCAUGAUGGGUCUGGGAAAGAUAUUGUUUCGGUGGGGGAUGGGCUCGCGGCCUAUCAGCUUGUUGGUGGGGUGAUGGCCUACCAAGGCGGUGACGGGUAGCCGGCCUGAGAGGGUGGACGGUCACACUGGGACUGAGACACGGCCCAGACUCCUACGGGAGGCAGCAGUGGGGAAUAUUGCACAAUGGGCGCAAGCCUGAUGCAGCGACGCCGCGUGAGGGAUGGAGGCCUUCGGGUUGUGAACCUCUUUCGCCAGUGAAGCAGGCCUGCCUCGUUUGUGGGUGGGUUGACGGUAGCUGGAUAAGAAGCGCCGGCUAACUACGUG